RNAcentral lists this unclassified non-coding RNA (252 nucleotides) under uncultured fungus. RNAcentral's name for it is "sequence contains ITS2". Lineage: Eukaryota; Fungi. The record is from RNAcentral.
AACGCAUAUUGCGCCCAUUAGUAUUCUAACGGGCAUGCCUAUUCGAGCGUCAUUUCGACCCUUAAGCCUCUGUAGCUUAGCGUUAGGAAUCUGCGUACGGCGCAGUUCCCCAAAGGUAGUGGCAGUGUUAGGUACACACGUAGUGCAGUAAUUUCUUCUCGCUUCGGUAGUGUCACUGAACAGCUUGCCGUAAAAGCCCUUAUAUUUAUAGUGGUUGACCUCGGAUUAGGUAGGAAUACCCGCUGAACUUAA